UUUUAGCUCCGGGUAUUACAACUCUCCCUCUCUUAAAAGAAAUUUGGUUCCUUAAAUUUGUCUCCUUCUCACUUAAUCAAACAGUUGGGGAUACUGGACUUUAAAGUCUGAUUCUAGCUUCUAUGUGGCCUCUCUCUGUGUGUGAUUCUGCAUAGGACCUUAACGAAGAAAAUUUCCCUAUUGCAGAGUACUCUGCUCGUUUGGUCUACAAUGCCCACUAUUACCUCUUCAUAGGAUUGAUCCUCCUGGAAUGAAAGGGGCUCGUGGACCAAGAUGUGCGAGGGGUUCGAGUUGUACUUGCGUAGCAUGUACACAUGAAACACAUUAUGGACCCUGGAUAUCUCUGGAGGUAGUGCCAGUCUAUAAGCGGCGAUAUCAAUGCUGUCUAAGAUCUCAAAUGACCUAAUGAAUCAAGGAUUUAGUUUCUCCCUUUUGUCAAACUUACUGAUUCUCUUGAAAUGGAUGACCUUGAGAGACACUCGAUUACCUUUCUCAAAUUCCAAAUCCCUCCUCCGGGUGUCCGCAUAACUUUUCUAUCUGCUUUGAGCCAUUUGGAUGUUCUUUCUAAUCUUAACUAUUUUGACUAUAGUCUCCUCCACAAGAUUUGGGCUGAACAAAUUUCUAUCAUUCACCUCUUUCCAACAG
RNAcentral lists this long non-coding RNA (645 nucleotides) under Carica papaya (papaya). Its description in RNAcentral is "long non-coding RNA (CPAP_LNC001246)". Lineage: Eukaryota; Viridiplantae; Streptophyta; Magnoliopsida; Brassicales; Caricaceae. The record is from RNAcentral.